UCCGGCCCGGCGCGGGGGAUGACUUCUUGCGGCCGGAGCUCGGCGGCGGAAGCAGCUGCUGCAGCUUGCAGGUGUGGUGGGGCCGGCCGAGCUGACCACGCACAGACCCGGCGCGGCGGCACUGCGGCCCCGGGGCAGCCGGCGCCGGGGACAUGCGCUGAUUCGAUCCCUCCGGAGAAGUUUCCUGAGUUUCUGGGAAGGCCUGGUUUCCCCAAAGGAAUGAUUUCUGGUAGAAGUCUGAAGGUCUGACCCAAGAAAAAAACUCCAGUAUAGCCAAUGAAUUGAGGACAAGAAGGUUUCCAAUCAGUGUGAUCCCAGAAGUCUCACCAAGAGAUGGUGUUGAUUCUUCUCAGUGCAAGAGGGAUCAUGAUUGACUGAUGGCUCCAGUUACUGUUACCAGCACAGGACAGAGCCUGGUGUGGCCAAGAAAGCGGGCCAUUCCUGUGAAUACAAGACUGCCCCAACAGGCAUACUGUUGCUGCGUUUAACCUCACUGAAGCCAGACUAAUCCAGAGAUGUUCUUAGCUUCCUGUGACUCAUAUGAAGGUUAUCAUUUUAGAAGAGACCUUGAAAACAUACUCUGGAUUUAGGGGGGAAAAAAAACUCUGACAUUUCCAAGAGGAAAAGCUUUUUUUAAGUUUUAUAUUGUAGAUGCAGAGCUUAAAGCAUUUAAACACAUACAGCAAGCAAUAUAAUAUGAAUCAUGUAACAAAAGUUAAAUUUAAGUGAAAACCUUUUGUGGUAUGUUGCAGUCACAAAAGAAGAUACAAAAUUAAUGUGGACACCUGCUUGUUUUACUUGUAUCAGGAGAAAAUAAAAUUCAUUGUCAUUUAAUGAAUUGCUUUCUGUUGUAGCACACUUAAUUAUCUCUUCCUGUAACCCCAAGAAGUAUCUUUUCAAACUCACAGCUGUAUCUGAAUAGGGGCUACCAACUAAAGAGGAGAUGAAUGCUAACCCCUUUUCCAGCUAGCUGCAUGUGGAACAGUUCUGGCUUCAGUCCCCUGCCACCUGCCAGCUCUGGGCUCUCAGGGUGCUCCUGGGAGAAUCAUAGGAAUGCAGAUGAACCCCUGAAAGAGACCUGAUGGUGCAGAGAAGGCAUCUGACAGAGGAUCAUGAAGCAGAGAGCAAAGAAGUGGGGUUGAAAAGAGGGAGGUAUACGCGGAGAUUGUUUUUCAUCUCAAAAUGUGCCAUUGUAUUCUACAUUCUCCUUGAAACAUUUCAAGGGCUCCAUUUGCAUAUAUUAGAUGCUUACUUCUUUUCACAUCAUGUUCUCCAUUCCUACUGAAUUAUGUGUCAAUCUAUGAACUGUUUCUCCUUUGUACUUCUGUCACUUUAGUACAUUAACAAUUGCAAGUAGAGGUUUUCCACAGUGUGUUUUCUUCUUGGUACAACUUCUUUUGAAUCUAUCCUGUGUAUACAGAAAGAUCUCAAGCGUGUGGGCCAGUCAGAAUGAAUCCAAGCCCGCACUGGUGGAAGUCUACAUUCUAGAAGGGCUCCAAAGACACAAGGACACACAGUUGCAGUGAUUACAAUACUCAAACCUACCUAGAUUAGUUGCAAAGAUACUUCUUUAGCACUAUUUUCACAUUAAUUCUAUUAUUGUUUAAAUAUAAUUGCGUUUCUCUAGUUGAUGUAAGUAAAUCCUUUGCUUAAAAUAUUUCAUUUUGUUUCAACUGUUAAUUUGUUUUCUGAAAUGAGUGUAAUAAAUACACAUUUUUAUUUGUCCUAACAAUUAAAAUGCAUGGAUUAACCCCCAGCUUGUACAGAUGCAGAAUCAUUACUAUCCCUAACAACGUAAAACUCUGACAAAUUAGAUAUCACUAUUUCUUAAGGAAAAUUGAUCAUAAGAUAAUUUUUGGACCUAAAAAUCUGCAUUUGUCUCAAGCACAUUUAACAUGCAUUCAUGGGAGAAGGAUCAUCUUUUUUCUGUUUCAUAUACAACUCUGUUAAGUGGAUAUCUUAUGUUUUCUUACAUUUCCUGCAUAUAAUUUAAAGGAAAAAAAAGCCACCCAAAAAGAGAAUAGAGGGAAUGAAUGUCUCAAUCCUUUUUUAAUUGUAUCACUGAUUCUUGGGGGGGGUAUAGUGUGAUAGCUUCUGUAUUUUCUCUACUCCCUCCCUCCCCAAUUUUACUGAGUUGUGGUUGAUUAUAACAUUGUAUAAGUUUAAAGAGUACAACAUAAUGAUUUGAUACAUGCAUAUAAUGUGAAAUGAUUACCACAAUAAAUUUAGUUAACAUCUGUCACCUCACAUAGUUGCAACAUUUUUUUUGUGAAGAGAACUUUUAAGAUUUACUCUCUCAGCAAUUUUCAAAUAUACAAAACAGUAUUGUUAACUUUAAUCAUUAUGCUGUGCAUUACAUCCCUAAGACUUUUUAUUUUAUAAUUAAAAGUUUGUGCCCUUUGACCACCUUCAAAUAUUUCCCCUACACCCCAGCUCCCACAUGUGGCAACCACUGAUUUGAUGCCUUUUUAUGAGUUUUUUCUUUUCAGAUUCCAUUUAAUUGAGGCCAUACACUGUUUGUCUUUCUCUGAUUUAUUUCACUUAGUAUAAUGCCUUCUCUACUUUCUUGAUGACUUGGUUAUUUGCCCUAAUUUAAUAACAACAAAAAAUGUUUAUUGAAGACCCCUGUGAAUAUUAAGACUAAAUUUACAAACUGUCUCACACGUUUACAAAAUGUCUCACAGAGUUAUUUAACUAAUCUUUCUAUUGUUUACACGUAUUCUAACAACACAUUUGAUUCCCAGUUGAUUUUCAGUUUAUUUUAGUGAAUUUUCUGGCCACUUUGGCCUCAUAGUUGUUGAUGAAAAUAGUCUGUAAAAAUUGAGAAAAAUUAUUUAUCAUUUUUUUGUUUUUUUGACAAAUCUGUUCAGUCCUACAUGCCUCAGACACUAGUAUUUAUUGAUAUUUUUGUUAUAGUGCUUAAAGAAUUUGUGUACCUUCUGUUAAUGGUGAUAUCACCACCUUGCUACAGAAUUAAUCUUGUCUUCAGUUAAGCUGUGAGUAAAUGUGGUGCAGCAGAAAUGGGUGGCCUUUUACUCUGUUCACACGCGAACAUGUGAACAAAAAAACGGAAAGAAACACAGUAAAUUGUUGUUGUGACUGAAGUAACUUACUAUGUAGGUCUAUGGGUUUUAAUUAUUUCUUCCUUCUGGGAUUCUACUUGCUUACUUCUUUUUUUCUUAUACAGGAUAUGUCAGCAUUUAGAGCCAAUUCUGUUCUUCAGUGAUGUGAGAGAAAUAUCAGUUUAAACUUAUGUCACUGGUUGCAGCAGGGGAUUGGGACCAUAAAAAAAUGAUUAUGAAUUCGGUAAUAUGCCUUGCAUAAAGUGGUCAGAAAAGAUCUGGACUUUUCCCAAAGACUUAUAGAGCCUGAAAAUAAAGCCUGGUUAUAAGGGAAGAGAACUCUAAGAAGACAAACUUUCAGUUAAACUAAAAUGAAAAUAGCUACAGAAAAACAUUUUAGCCAAAUAAAUCUAGCAAUAUUUUCAGAGUUUCAGUUUCAAAAAAAAGAAAAACAAAACUAAAGAACAAUAAGAGAUAUUUUUAUAUGUAAACCUGAGAGAUGUGGCCAAAUGAUACUUCUUGGAAAGUAUGUGUGAAUUUCUUAUUUGAUAAUUUAUAUCAGUAUGGACUCAUGGAUAUAUAUUUUAUUCUAAAGGGUAAAAUCCAAUGCUAUCAUAUUAGUUUUGUUCUCAUAUUGAUUAUUAAGAGCUUCUACUCUAUAUUUAAAUAAAUAUUUUAGAAAAAAUAAACUACGUAAACCAUUCAAGUAGCUGGAAAAAAAUGACAGGCAUGAAAAGUGUUUAAAGUAAUUAAUAAUAAAGAUAACAAUUAACCAAAUAUAAAAUAUUUAUAAUUGAGAAUUAUAUAUAUAAGAAACAAUAUAAGAAAACUAAAUCCAGUGCUUUAAAGGGACCAAAGAUACAUUCUAUGUAAACCAGGUUUUUAUAAAGGCUAUUAGUUUUGUGAUUUGAAAGAGACUGAGAAACCAUGCGGCUACUAAUUAUAAUCUGCUGUGAAUAAAUUUGAAAGAUAAUAUUAUAUGAAAAAAAUUUCAGACACACAUAAAUGCUGAAAUCAAAUUAGGUCAAAUUGAGAAACCAGAAUAGACCAAUGACUAUAGAAAAUAUGUUAGAAAUUGUACUUUAUGCCUCUACUAAAAUCUCUCCUCCACCAGAUCUACUGUGACCACUAUUUAAAACUGUAGCCCCUCUACUCAUUUCCUCUUUCUCAAACCCCUAGACCUUGCCCUACUUUUAAUUCUCUUCAGCAGUAUUUAUCAAUGUCUAAGAUACUAUACUGCUUACCUAUUUAUUAUGCUUGUUGUUGACUGUCUCCCUCACUAGAGUGUAGUAUCAAAAGCUCAAAGCUAGGGCUUCCCUGGUGGCACAGUGGUUGAGAGUCCACCUGCUGAUGCGGGAGACGUGGGUUCGUGCCCCGGUCCGAGAGGAUCCCUUGUGCCAUGGAGCGGCUGGGCCCGUGAGCCAUGGCCGCUGAGCCUGCACGUCCAGAGCCUGUGCUCUGCAACGGGAGAGGCCACAACAGUGAGAGGCCCGCGUACAGCAAAAAAAAAAAAAAA
Globicephala melas (long-finned pilot whale) is the source of this 4578-nucleotide long non-coding RNA. RefSeq lists it as uncharacterized. Lineage: Eukaryota; Metazoa; Chordata; Mammalia; Artiodactyla; Delphinidae. The record is from RefSeq and is a predicted model, not a curated record.